Molecule: long non-coding RNA, 250 nt
Filed under: Panax ginseng (ginseng)
Lineage: Eukaryota; Viridiplantae; Streptophyta; Magnoliopsida; Apiales; Araliaceae
Description: long non-coding RNA (PGIN_LNC012296)
Source: RNAcentral
CCGGCGCUGGCACUUAUUCUGACAUUUUCUGCUCCGACGUCCUUUGGGAAAAUGGCCAUAACUUCUUCGUCCGAACUCCGAUUUCGAUAAUUCGAGAUGAUACGGAAAGAUGAGAAGUAGGUCUACAACUUUCAUUCUUUAAGUGUUUCAAAAUAAGGUACAGAGCUAUACUCAAAUUGGCUCUAAAGUGACUGCUGUGUAAAUGACAAGCCGAAAACGCGAAUCUAGCCACCCCAAACGUCGAUCCAAG